GCUAGGUUGCAUGGAAAGGGACUAUAGAAAAAGAUAUACAUGGGAAGAGAUAAACUUCGGGAAUGUAUCAAAUGGAGAAUCAGGAAUGGGAAGAGAGUUGGUUUCUAGACGAAUGUUUGGAUUGAAGGGGAAGUGUUGAGAAAUAGGUUCCAAUAGAUUUUUGCCGUCUUAAGAUACAAAGAUAUCCCUGUUAAAGAGGCUUAUAGAGAUAAAGAAGGAGGAAAGGAUUGGCACAUGAAGAUUUAGAGGAAUCUCAAUAAUUGAGAAAUUAAUAAAUAGAAAUCACUGUUG
Molecule: long non-coding RNA, 291 nt
Filed under: Carica papaya (papaya)
Lineage: Eukaryota; Viridiplantae; Streptophyta; Magnoliopsida; Brassicales; Caricaceae
Description: long non-coding RNA (CPAP_LNC012728)
Source: RNAcentral